Long non-coding RNA from Oncorhynchus tshawytscha (Chinook salmon), 1309 nucleotides. NCBI's taxonomy places the organism in Eukaryota, Metazoa, Chordata, Actinopteri, Salmoniformes, Salmonidae. The record is from Ensembl.
UUUAUUAUUUAUUUAAUUUAUUUUUUUCCAAAAAAUAUAUGGGGGAUUGGAAAUGAUGCAGACAAUUACAUUCAUAGCUCAUAGAAGCCACAGUCUAUCUGCAAUAUUAAAGUUGACAUACCACCUGUGUAUAUAUAUAACAAUAUGUUACUAGGACAAGACGAGUUGUUUACAAUUCAACCAAAAAUGGUGGAAGUGAAAUGUCGCUCUUGUAUUUUUCACAGCUAAAAGUAUUUUAUAUAAAAUGUAUAAACUUUGGCUACUCUGUUUUUACUAAUCUGAGUCUAAUCUGAUGCUUGUGUGAAAAUACAACAAUAACUAGAGAAGUACAUAUCCUGAAGAAAAUGUGGUGUGCAUGCUAGCUUGUGAAUGAUCGAUUGAUUGGUAGGAUAGGAUAGCCUGAACAUGUGAAAGUUGCCUGGUGUCUGUAGUGUGAAUGAUUCAAAAGUUACUGUUGGUGAGUUAUUUUAUGCUAAUUUAUGCACAUACAGUACAUGGAAUUAUAGUUCAUUCAAGUUUUAAAGAAUUUACAUUUAGGAUAGCCUGAACAUGAGGAAGUUAGUUUGAUGUCUCUAGCUUGAACGGUUCAAGAGUCACUGUUGUUGAGUUAUUUUAUGCAAAUAUAUGCAACUGUGAAUAGUUAUAAUACAUGUUUUAACAUUAUUGAAUUGGAUAUUAGGAUAGCCUGAACAUGUGAAAGUUGGUUUGGUGUCUCUAAUUUGAACAGUUUAAGAGUUACUGUUGGUGAUUUAUUUUAUCCUAAUUUAUGCACAUUUAUAUAGUUAUAAUUGAUAAAGAUCUGAAAUCAUUUGAAGUUUAGGAUGCCCUGAAUGGUUUACAGUUGGUCUUAUAGCUUAAAUGGCCUGGGAGGAAGACCAUUUUAAAUAGUCACCACUAUUACUGUGGUUCUAAUUCGAACCCAUGUUAUUUAUGUAAAUGUUAAAUGCAUAUAGUUUAAAAUGUAAAAAAGGCUAUGGAGCUUUUAUUAACAUUUAAAACAGUUAUAGUUCAAAAAGUAUAAAUGAUCCAAAUUUGAAAUCCAAUCAAUUUAUGUUGGGUCAGUUUGAACAUCUCGACGUUGGUUUGGCAUUGAUAGCUUAAGUGGUGUAAGAGGAGACAAGUGUCAAAUUAAGAUUUUUUUUUUUACCAUUCAAGUCCAUGUAUCAUUUUCAGUUAAAAAUAAUAAAUGCUAUAAAAAAAAUUCCUCAACAAUCUAUGUUGGAGUAUUCUGCACAUCUGGAAGUUGGUUUCGUGUUAAUAGCAUAAAUCAUUUAAGGGCUACAGAGCAAGCCGAAGAAAUUAAACAAGG